RNAcentral lists this ribosomal RNA (492 nucleotides) under uncultured bacterium. Its description in RNAcentral is "partial 16S ribosomal RNA". It matches the Rfam family "Bacterial small subunit ribosomal RNA", at positions 29 to 507 of the family's 1533-position model. The record is from RNAcentral.
AGUGAACGCUGGCGGUAGGCCUAACGCAUGCAAGUCGAACGGCAGCACAGUAAGAGCUUGCUCUUACGGGUGGCGAGUGGCGGACGGGUGAGGAAUACAUCGGAAUCUACUUUUUCGUGGGGGAUAACGUAGGGAAACUUACGCUAAUACCGCAUACGACCUACGGGUGAAAGCAGGGGAUCUUCGGACCUUGCGCGAUUGAAUGAGCCGAUGUCGGAUUAGCUAGUUGGCGGGGUAAAGGCCCACCAAGGCGACGAUCCGUAGCUGGUCUGAGAGGAUGAUCAGCCACACUGGAACUGAGACACGGUCCAGACUCCUACGGGAGGCCGCAGUGGGGAAUAUUGGACAAUGGGCGCAAGCCUGAUCCAGCCAUACCGCGUGGGUGAAGAAGGCCUUCGGGUUGUAAAGCCCUUUUGUUGGGAAAGAAAAGCAGCAGGUUAAUACCCCGCUGUUCUGACGGUACCCAAAGAAUAAGCACCGGCUAACUUCGUG